RNAcentral lists this ribosomal RNA (253 nucleotides) under uncultured bacterium. RNAcentral's name for it is "partial 16S ribosomal RNA". It matches the Rfam family "Bacterial small subunit ribosomal RNA", at positions 524 to 776 of the family's 1533-position model. The record is from RNAcentral.
UACGAGGGGGGCGAGCGUUGCUCGGAAUUACUGGGCGUAAAGCGCACGUAGGCGGCUUUCUAAGUCGGGGGUGAAAUCCUGGAGCUCAACUCCAGAACUGCCUUCGAUACUGGAAAGCUCGAGUCCGGGAGAGGUGAGUGGAACUGCGAGUGUAGAGGUGAAAUUCGUAGAUAUUCGCAAGAACACCAGUGGCGAAGGCGGCUCACUGGCCCGGUACUGACGCUGAGGUGCGAAAGCGUGGGGAGCAAACAGG